GUGGUUGUAGCUCAGUUGGUUAGAGCGCCUGGUUGUGGCCCAGGAGGUCGUGGGUUCAAAUCCCCUCAUCCACCCCA
Molecule: transfer RNA, 77 nt
Filed under: bioreactor metagenome
Description: tRNA-His
Rfam family: tRNA
About the family: Transfer RNA (tRNA) molecules are approximately 80 nucleotides in length. Their secondary structure includes four short double-helical elements and three loops (D, anti-codon, and T loops). Further hydrogen bonds mediate the characteristic L-shaped molecular structure. tRNAs have two regions of fundamental functional importance: the anti-codon, which is responsible for specific mRNA codon recognition, and the 3' end, to which the tRNAs corresponding amino acid is attached (by aminoacyl-tRNA synthetases). tRNAs cope with the degeneracy of the genetic code in two manners: having more than one tRNA (with a specific anti-codon) for a particular amino acid; and 'wobble' base-pairing, i.e. permitting non-standard base-pairing at the 3rd anti-codon position.
Source: RNAcentral